GGCAAGAUGGCCAAGCGUUCCAAGGCGCUGCGUUCAGGUCGCAGUCCAUUUUCUGUGGUCGUGGGUUCGAAUCCCACUCUUGCCA
This is a non-coding RNA of Trichuris suis (pig whipworm), 85 nucleotides long. The record is from Rfam. Lineage: Eukaryota; Metazoa; Nematoda; Enoplea; Trichinellida; Trichuridae.